RNAcentral lists this ribosomal RNA (164 nucleotides) under uncultured fungus. RNAcentral describes it as "5.8S ribosomal RNA". It matches the Rfam family "5.8S ribosomal RNA". From Rfam's summary of the family: 5.8S ribosomal RNA (5.8S rRNA) is a component of the large subunit of the eukaryotic ribosome. It is transcribed by RNA polymerase I as part of the 45S precursor that also contains 18S and 28S rRNA. The record is from RNAcentral. Lineage: Eukaryota; Fungi.
CAACUUUCAACAACGGAUCUCUUGGUUCUGGCAUCGAUGAAGAACGCAGCGAAAUGCGAUAAGUAGUGUGAAUUGCAGAAUUCAGUGAAUCAUCGAAUCUUUGAACGCACAUUGCGCCCCUUGGUAUUCCAUGGGGCAUGCCUGUUCGAGCGUCAUCUGCACCU